Molecule: non-coding RNA, 82 nt
Organism: Podospora didyma
Lineage: Eukaryota; Fungi; Ascomycota; Sordariomycetes; Sordariales; Podosporaceae
Source: the annotation of a GenBank genome assembly
GGCAGGAUGGCCGAGUGGUUUAAGGCGGCAGUUUUAAGCACUGCUAUCGAGAGAUGCGUGGGUUCGAAUCCCGCUCCUGUCA